UGGGGAAUAUUGGACAAUGGGGGCAACCCUGAUCCAGCAAUGCCGCGUGAGUGAUGAAGGCCUUAGGGUUGUAAAGCUCUUUUACCGGGGACGAUGAUGACGGUACCCGGAGAAUAAGCCCCGGCUAACUUCGUGCCAGCAGCCGCGGUAAUACGAAGGGGGCGAGCGUUGUUCGGAAUUACUGGGCGUAAAGGGCGCGUAGGCGGCGAACCAAGUCAGAUGUGAAAGUCCUGGGCUUAACCUGGGGACUGCAUUUGAUACUGAUUGGCUUGAAUUCGGGAGAGGAUAGCGGAAUUCCCAGUGUAGAGGUGAAAUUCGUAGAUAUUGGGAAGAACACCGGUGGCGAAGGCGGCUAUCUGGACCGACAUUGACGCUGAGGCGCGAAAGCGUGGGGAGCAAACA
This 402-nucleotide ribosomal RNA is filed under the name uncultured Dongia sp. Its description in RNAcentral is "bacterial SSU rRNA". It matches the Rfam family "Bacterial small subunit ribosomal RNA", at positions 355 to 774 of the family's 1533-position model. Lineage: Bacteria; Pseudomonadati; Pseudomonadota; Alphaproteobacteria; Rhodospirillales; Dongiaceae. The record is from RNAcentral.